CACAAGGCUAUAAGUAUUUUAGAGACAAAAGUUAUGUUGAGAGUUACAUGAGAUGUAAUUGCUAAAGAGUUACCUACCUUUGAACUCAUAGGAGCUUGUUGUGCUAUCCAUUAGGCUUUUUAUGAGAAAUUAGAAUCUCAAUCCCACUAAGGAACUAGAUGAUAUGUUUUCUCGAUUUCAUACUUGAGGACUAUAAAAUUUGCUAAAAU
This 209-nucleotide long non-coding RNA is filed under the name Elaeis guineensis (African oil palm). RNAcentral's name for it is "long non-coding RNA (EGUI_LNC014529)". Lineage: Eukaryota; Viridiplantae; Streptophyta; Magnoliopsida; Arecales; Arecaceae. The record is from RNAcentral.